GGGCAAACCCAGGCUAAUACCGCAUACGUCCUACGGGAGAAAGGGGGCUUCGGCUCCCGCUAUUGGAUGAGCCUAUGUCGGAUUAGCUAGUUGGUAAGGUAAUGGCUCACCAAGGCAACGAUCCGUAGCUGCGUCUGAUGAGGAUGAUCAGCCACAUCGGGACUGAGACACGGUCCCGAAUCUCCUACGGGAGGCAGCAGUGGGGUAAUAUUGGACAAUGGGGGCAACCCUGAUCCAGCCAUGCAGUGUAUGUGAAGAAGGCCCUCGGGUUGUAAAGCACUUUCAGCGAGGAAGAACGCCUGUCGGUUAAUACCCGGUAGGAAAGACAUCAAUCGCAGAAGAAGCACCGGCUAACUCCGUGCCAGCAGCCGCGGUAAUACGGAGGGUGCAAGCGUUAAUCGGAAUUACUGGGCGUAAAGCGCGCGUAGGUGGCUUGAUAAGCCGGUUGUGAAAGCCCCGGGCUCAACCUGGGAACGGCAUCCGGAACUGUCAGGCUAGAGUGCAGGAGAGGAAGGUAGAAUUCCCGGUGUAGCGGUGAAAUGCGUAGAGAUCGGGAGGAAUACCAGUGGCGAAGGCGGCCUUCUGGACUGACACUGACACUGAGGUGCGAAAGCGUGGGUAGCAAACAGGAUUAGAUACCCUGGUAGUCCACGCCGUAAACGAUGUCGACCAGCCGUUGGGUGCCUAGCGCACUUUGUGGCGAAGUUAACGCGAUAAGUCGACCGCCUGGGGAGUACGGCCGCAAGGUUAAAACUCAAAUGAAUUGACGGGGGCCCGCACAAGCGGUGGAGCAUGUGGUUUAAUUCGAUGCAACGCGAAGAACCUUACCUACCCUUGACAUCUACAGAAGCCGGAAGAGAUUCUGGUGUGCCUUCGGGAACUGUAAGACAGGUGCUGCAUGGCUGUCGUCAGCUCGUGUUGUGAAAUGUUGGGUUAAGUCCCGUAACGAGCGCAACCCUUGUCCUUAUUUGCCAGCGAGUAAUGUUGGGAACUCUAAGGAGACUGCCGGUGACAAACCGGAGGAAGGUGGGGACGACGUCAAGUCAUCAUGGCCCUUACGGGUAGGGCUACACACGUGCUACAAUGGCCGGUACAAAGGGCUGCGAGCUCGCGAGAGUCAGCGAAUCCCUUAAAGCCGGUCUCAGUCCGGAUCGGAGUCUGCAACUCGACUCCGUGAAGUCGGAAUCGCUAGUAAUCGUGAAUCAGAAUGUCACGGUGAAUACGUUCCCGGGCCUUGUACACACCGCCCGUC
Molecule: ribosomal RNA, 1252 nt
Filed under: Halomonas sp.
Lineage: Bacteria; Pseudomonadati; Pseudomonadota; Gammaproteobacteria; Oceanospirillales; Halomonadaceae
Description: bacterial SSU rRNA
Rfam family: Bacterial small subunit ribosomal RNA
Source: RNAcentral